GUAAAGAGCUCGUAGGCGGUUUGUCGCGUCUGCCGUGAAAGUCCGGGGCUCAACUCCGGAUCUGCGGUGGGUACGGGCAGACUAGAGUGAUGUAGGGGAGACUGGAAUUCCUGGUGUAGCGGUGAAAUGCGCAGAUAUCAGGAGGAACACCGAUGGCGAAGGCAGGUCUCUGGGCAUUAACUGACGCUGAGGAGCGAAAGCAUGGGGAGCGAACAGGAUUAGAUACCCUGGUAGUCCAUGCCGUAAACGUUGGGCACUAGGUGUGGGGGACAUUCCACGUUUUCCGCGCCGUAGCUAACGCAUUAAGUGCCCCGCCUGGGGAGUACGGCCGCAAGGCUAAAACUCAAAGGAAUUGACGGGGGCCCGCACAAGCGGCGGAGCAUGCGGAUUAAUUCGAUGCAACGCGAAGAACCUUACCAAGGCUUGACAUGAACCGGUAAUACCUGGAGACAGGUGCCCCGCUUGCGGUCGGUUUACAGGUGGUGCAUGGUUGUCGUCAGCUCGUGUCGUGAGAUGUUGGCUUAAGUCCCGCAACGAGCGCAACCCUCGUUCUAUGUUGCCAGCACGUGAUGGUGGGGACUCAUAGGAGACUGCCGGGGUCAACUCGGAGGAAGGUGGGGACGACGUCAAAUCAUCAUGCCCCUUAUGUCUUGGGCUUCACGCAUGCUACAAUGGCCGGUACAAAGGGUUGCGAUACUGUGAGGUGGAGCUAAUCCCAAAAAGCCGGUCUCAGUUCGGAUUGGGGUCUGCAACUCGACCCCAUGAAGUCGGAGUCGCUAGU
Molecule: ribosomal RNA, 781 nt
Filed under: uncultured Actinomycetes bacterium
Lineage: Bacteria; Bacillati; Actinomycetota; Actinomycetes
Description: bacterial SSU rRNA
Rfam family: Bacterial small subunit ribosomal RNA
Source: RNAcentral